Molecule: ribosomal RNA, 292 nt
Filed under: uncultured bacterium
Lineage: Bacteria
Description: partial 16S ribosomal RNA
Rfam family: Bacterial small subunit ribosomal RNA
Source: RNAcentral
GUGCCAGCCGCCGCGGUAAUACGUAGGGGGCGAGCGUUGUCCGGAUUUAUUGGGCGUAAAGAGCGCGUAGGCGGCCAGGUAGGUCCGACGUGAAAUCUCGAGGCUCAACCUCGAGCGGUCGUUGGAUACCGCCUGGCUAGAGUCCGGAAGAGGAGAGUGGAAUUCCUGGUGUAGCGGUGAAAUGCGCAGAUAUCAGGAAGAACACCCAUGGCGAAAGCAGCUCUCUGGGACGGUACUGACGCUGAGGCGCGAAAGCGUGGGGAGCGAACAGGAUUAGAUACCCCCGUAGUCC